This 497-nucleotide ribosomal RNA is filed under the name uncultured bacterium. RNAcentral describes it as "partial 16S ribosomal RNA". It matches the Rfam family "Bacterial small subunit ribosomal RNA", at positions 28 to 507 of the family's 1533-position model. The record is from RNAcentral.
GAUGAACGCUGGCGGCGUGCCUAAUACAUGCAAGUCGAGCGAACAGACGAGGAGCUUGCUCCUCUGACGUUAGCGGCGGACGGGUGAGUAACACGUGGAUAACCUACCUAUAAGACUGGGAUAACUUCGGGAAACCGGAGCUAAUACCGGAUAAUAUAUUGAACCGCAUGGUUCAAUAGUGAAAGACGGUUUUGCUGUCACUUAUAGAUGGAUCCGCGCCGCAUUAGCUAGUUGGUAAGGUAACGGCUUACCAAGGCAACGAUGCGUAGCCGACCUGAGAGGGGGAUCGGCCACACUGGAACUGAGACACGGUCCAGACUCCUACGGGAGGCAGCAGUAGGGAAUCUUCCGCAAUGGGCGAAAGCCUGACGGAGCAACGCCGCGUGAGUGAUGAAGGUCUUCGGAUCGUAAAACUCUGUUAUUAGGGAAAAACAAAUGUGUAAGUAACUAUGCACGUCUUGACGGUACCUAAUCAGAAAGCCACGGCUAACUACGUG